AACGAACGCUGGCGGCAGGCCUAACACAUGCAAGUCGAGCGGACCUUUCGGGGUCAGCGGCGGACGGGUGAGUAACGCGUGGGAAUAUGCCCUUCUCUACGGAAUAGUCCUGGGAAACUGGGGGUAAUACCGUAUACGCCCUUUGGGGGAAAGAUUUAUCGGGGAAGGAUUAGCCCGCGUUGGAUUAGGUAGUUGGUGGGGUAAUGGCCUACCAAGCCGACGAUCCAUAGCUGGUUUGAGAGGAUGAUCAGCCACACUGGGACUGAGACACGGCCCAGACUCCUACGGGAGGCAGCAGUGGGGAAUCUUAGACAAUGGGGGCAACCCUGAUCUAGCCAUGCCGCGUGAGUGAUGAAGGCCUUAGGGUUGUGAAGCUCUUUCAGCUGGGAAGAUAAUGACGGUACCAGCAGAAGAAGCCCCGGCUAACUCCGUG
RNAcentral lists this ribosomal RNA (433 nucleotides) under uncultured bacterium. RNAcentral's name for it is "partial 16S ribosomal RNA". It matches the Rfam family "Bacterial small subunit ribosomal RNA", at positions 29 to 507 of the family's 1533-position model. The record is from RNAcentral.